UGGGGAAUAUUGCACAAUGGGCGCAAGCCUGAUGCAGCCAUGCCGCGUGUAUGAAGAAGGCCUUCGGGUUGUAAAGUACUUUCAGCGGGGAGGAAGGGAGUAAAGUUAAUACCUUUGCUCAUUGACGUUACCCGCAGAAGAAGCACCGGCUAACUCCGUGCCAGCAGCCGCGGUAAUACGGAGGGUGCAAGCGUUAAUCGGAAUUACUGGGCGUAAAGCGCACGCAGGCGGUUUGUUAAAUCAGAUGUGAAAUCCCCGGGCUCAACCUGGGAACUGCAUCUGAUACUGGCAAGCUUGAGUCUCGUAGAGGGGGGUAGAAUUCCAGGUGUAGCGGUGAAAUGCGUAGAGAUCUGGAGGAAUACCGGUGGCGAAGGCGGCCCCCUGGACGAAGACUGACGCUCAGGUGCGAAAGCGUGGGGAGCAAACA
RNAcentral lists this ribosomal RNA (427 nucleotides) under uncultured bacterium. RNAcentral's name for it is "partial 16S ribosomal RNA". It matches the Rfam family "Bacterial small subunit ribosomal RNA", at positions 355 to 774 of the family's 1533-position model. The record is from RNAcentral.